CUCCCACCUCAGACUCCCAAAGUGCUGGGAUUAUAGGUGUGAGCCACCACACCCAGCCUUUAUACAUCUUGAAAUACACUUUUCAGCUGUAGAGCCAUGAUACGUGAUUUAAAUUCUCUGUGCCUGUUUCCUUGGGCCUGGCAGAGAAAGUGUGAAUAGCCUAUUGUGGCCGUAUACCUGGGGAUGAUAAUGCUACCUACUUUGCUGUUAGGAAUACUAAGUGAGAAAGUAUGAGUGAAACCUUCAGCACAGAGCCAGGCACACCGUAAGUGCUCCAUGAACGGACAGCUAUUAUUGUAAUUACGCAUUCAGCCAUCAGAACUUACUGCAUGUCGAGAGCUGUGCAAGGCUCAGGGGAUAGGGUACUAACCAGUUAGGCUGACGAGCAAGUGUCCUGUCCUCACCGGGUGGCUGUCUGAAGGAGAGGCAGACCAGUCAACCAGUUUCCCUUAACUAGUACAUAUGCCCUCUGCUAGGGAAGCAAGAGUGGCUGCAGGAGCCCACAGGAGGGGCACCCACCCCAGAGCCAUGGGCGGCAGGCCACUGCAGCUGCCCUCUGCUGUCUGGAUGCCUUCCCCUGGCCUGGAAAGAGCUUCCCCCAGAUGGCUCCAUGACCCACUCAUUCAUGUUAUUCAGGACUCUGCUCAGGCAUCACCUCCACAAGGAGCCUUCUCCAAUCUUUCUGUCUAAAACAAUCCCUACCCACCCUGCCGCCUUUAUCAUUCCAUUCCAUGCCCUCAUGCUGCUUUAUUCUCUUUACAGUACUGAUCUUUUCUACCAGCGGAUUGUGGAUCUGUUUUGAAAAAUAUGUUUAUUGACCAUUUACCCACCACAAAGUAAGCUUGGUGAACGCAGGGGCUUUACCUAUUUUGUAUUCCUUAUUGCAUCCCCAGUGCACUCCCAGAACAAUGCCUGGGCCACGGUGAGCCAUCAAUGCCUGUCUUGGGUGAACAAAGUGACCACUAAGCUAGAUCCUGUAGGAUGCAUAGAGAUUGACCAGGGAAAGGGUCAGGGAGAGAAGAGAGAAUCUUCCAGGCAGAGGGAGCAGCAUGUACAAAACCAGGGGAGGAGAGCAGAACAUGAUGGGAGGUAGUUCUGUAUGACAGGCAUGUUCAUUAACAGAGCAGGAGGAGCAGGCAGCGAAAGGAAGAGCUUUCUGCUGGAGCUUCUGAAUCAUGAUGUGGGUCUGACCCCAUGGAAGGAGCCAGGGCAGGAAGGAUGAUUGGAGAGGAAAGUCUCAGACUGCAGCAUGGUUCUAAGAAGGUUUUGGCCAGGCAGAUGGGGAGUCCCUGAGCCAAAGCUGGCCCUCAGAGGAAUUCCCCAUCAGGCAGAAGCUAGUGCCGUGUUAUGCUCAGCCUUUGGCUGGAAUUAGCUCAGGGGACGUGUGGCUUUGGAGGGAUGCAGUGAGGGAUCCUGAAGGGCGGGAACUGUGGCUGUCACUUGACUGCUCCCUGCAGCCGGAGACCUCGAUGGUGCAAUUCCAUGGCUGCCCAACAAGCAGAGAGGGCAAGGAAGGAAGUGGUGAGAAUUGAGUCUGGAGAGCUAAACAUGGACCAGAUCACCAAGGGUACUUCAGGCCCUGUUAAAGAGUUGGAUUUUAUCAUGAAGGCAAUGAGAUGCCAGGAUAUGGUUUUGUUCAGGGGAAACAGAAUGAUUGGAUUUGCAUGUCAGAAGGAUCACUUUGGCUAUUAUGUAGAACAUGGAAAAGAAAACCUUUUGAAAAGUCUAGACUAGUAAUCCAGGCUCCCUUUAUUAUUAUUGUUAUUAUUAUUAUUAUUUGUUUUCAUUCUCACUGUGAAAGCAGUUUGAGAAAUAGACACAGAUGGCCUCCUCGUGGAAGUCAAACCUCACCUUUAUUCCUGAAUAAGCAGUUAGCAAAUGUGCCUUUGUUGUGAGGGCCAAAUGGGUUUCCAGUCACUCCCUGCCCAAUGGUUCCCUCCAGUCUAGGCCUUGGGCAGCCACCCAGGCAUCCAUCUGGGUCUUCUCUGGAGAAUCACUGCCUUCCUCUGGCCAGGAUGAGGAGGGGAAGAAGAGGCUGAGUCCCCGGCACUUAUCAUGGUCUUUCCAUUGCUGAGCUCCACCUAAUGGAGGAACAUGGACACCUCUCACCCCAGACUGGGGAAAAGAUGGGAAGAAGCCAGUAGAGAAGGGAGAUGUUGAAAACACAGGAGGGAAAGAGGAGCAGCCUGGACGUGAGUGAGGUGUACGUGUCACAUUUGGAGCCAUGGCAACCAUCCUGUGACCUGGAGGACAGAAGUCUAAAGGUAAAGUGAAAACACUGAGGAUGGCGGAGCAGAGGAUGGUGGGCGUCCCUCAGGCUGUUCUGUGCACAGUAGUGAGGAUGACUCUGUUUGGAAGUCAGAACUCAUUGCUCCUCUCCUCAAAACCCACUGAUGACUCCCUCCCUCUCCACGAAUAAAAUUCCACAUCCAUAAAGCCCCAUGUGAUCUGACUCCCCACUGCCUCUUUGAUCUCAUCCUUUUACUCUCCCCCUCCCUCCCUCCAAGCCAACCUCUGGCUUCCUUGUUGAUCCUUGAAUGUUUCCAGCACGCUCCAGCCUCAUGGCCUCUGCGCUAGCUGUUCUGCUUCACCUGGGAUGCUCUCAGCCUGGAGUGAUCUCAGCCCACACCUGGCCUGUUCACCCACUUGCUUCAGCUCCCUGUGUAAAUGUCACCACCUUGGAGAGGCAUCCUCUGACCACUCUCUUUCUAAUGCACCCCUUUCUUAAUCGUUCUAUUCCCUUUUCCUGCCUUAUUGUUUUUCAGAGUGCAUAUUAGCACUUUACACUUUAAGGACUUGUUUAUUCUCACACACAAACUCUUACACUUCCUCAUACGCACAUGCACUCACACACAAACUCUCACACUCAUAUGCACUCACGCUCCCUGAUACAUGCACACACACUCUCUCACUCACAUGCUGACCCGCAAUCACUCUCACACAUGCACAAAUGUGAACUUCCAGAGAGCAGCACCCUGGUCCAUUCCCCAACACCUAGAGCAGCACCUGGCAUCUAAUAGGUAUUCAACAAAUCUUUAUUGAAUUAAUUAAUGAAUUAAAAUAA
Molecule: long non-coding RNA, 3064 nt
Filed under: Homo sapiens (human)
Lineage: Eukaryota; Metazoa; Chordata; Mammalia; Primates; Hominidae
Description: HSALNT0303028
Source: RNAcentral